CAAUAGCGUAUAUUUAAGUUGUUGCAGUUAAAAAGCUCGUAGUUGGAUUUCGGGUGGGACGCAGCGGUCUCGCAUUGCGUUUGUACUGCUGCAGCCCUCCUUCUUGCCGGGGGCGGCCUCUCGGACUUCACUGUCUGGGGGUCAGAAUCGGCGAUGUUACUUUGAGUAAAUUAGAGUGUUCAAAGCAAGCUUACGCUCUGAAUAUAAUAGCAUGGGAUAACACGACAGGACUCUGGCCUAUCGUGUUGGUCUAUAGGACCAGAGUAAUGAUUAAGAUGGACAGUCGGGGGCAUUCGUAUUCCGUUGUCAGAGGUGAAAUUCUUGGAUUUACGGAAGACGAACAUCUGCGAAAGCAUUUGCCAAGGAUGUUUNCAUUGA
This 378-nucleotide ribosomal RNA is filed under the name uncultured eukaryote. Its description in RNAcentral is "partial 18S ribosomal RNA". It matches the Rfam family "Eukaryotic small subunit ribosomal RNA", at positions 592 to 976 of the family's 1831-position model. The record is from RNAcentral.